Small nuclear RNA from Rhododendron vialii, 162 nucleotides. RefSeq annotates it as U1 spliceosomal RNA. The record is from RefSeq and is a predicted model, not a curated record. NCBI's taxonomy places the organism in Eukaryota, Viridiplantae, Streptophyta, Magnoliopsida, Ericales, Ericaceae. The transcript has a single exon.
AUACUUACCUGGACGGGGUUAAAUGGGUGAUCAACAAGGCUCAUGACUUAGGUCUGGAAUCUCCAUUGCACUUGGGAGGGGUGCUUGCCUAAGGUCCACCCAAGUGGUGAAGCCUGUGUCAUAAUUUUUGGAAGUGGGGGCUUGCGUUCGCGUGGCCCCUCA